GACGAACGCUGGCGGCGUGCCUAAUACAUGCAAGUCGAGCGAAUCAAAGGGAGCUUGCUCCCUGAGGUUAGCGGCGGACGGGUGAGUAACACGUGGGCAACCUGCCUAUAAGACUGGGAUAACUUCGGGAAACCGGAGCUAAUACCGGAUAAUUCAUAUCUACUCAUGUAGGUAUGCUGAAAGACGGUUUACGCUGUCACUUAUAGAUGGGCCCGCGGCGCAUUAGCUAGUUGGUGAGGUAACGGGUCACCAAG
Molecule: ribosomal RNA, 254 nt
Filed under: uncultured soil bacterium
Lineage: Bacteria
Description: partial 16S ribosomal RNA
Rfam family: Bacterial small subunit ribosomal RNA
Source: RNAcentral